GAUGAACGCUGGCGGCGUGCCUAAUACAUGCAAGUAGAACGCUGAAGGAGGAGCUUGCUCUUCUGGAUGAGUUGCGAACGGGUGAGUAACGCGUAGGUAACCUGCCUGGUAGCGGGGGAUAACUAUUGGAAACGAUAGCUAAUACCGCAUGACAACAGUUAUUGCAUGAUAACUGUUUAAAAGGGGCAACUGCUCCACUACCAGAUGGACCUGCGUUGUAUUAGCUAGUUGGUGAGGUAACGGCUCACCAAGGCGACGAUACAUAGCCGACCUGAGAGGGUGAUCGGCCACCCUGGGACUGAGACACGGCCCAGACUCCUACGGGAGGGAGCAGUAGGGAAUCUUCGGCAAUGGACGGAAGUCUGACCGAGCAACGCCGCGUGAGUGAAGAAGGUUUUCGGAUCGGAAAGCUCUGUUGUAAGAGAAGAAAGAGUGUGAGAGUGGAAAGUUCACACUGUGACGGUAUCUUACCAGAAAGGGACGGCUAACUACGUG
RNAcentral lists this ribosomal RNA (495 nucleotides) under uncultured bacterium. Its description in RNAcentral is "partial 16S ribosomal RNA". It matches the Rfam family "Bacterial small subunit ribosomal RNA", at positions 28 to 507 of the family's 1533-position model. The record is from RNAcentral.